RNAcentral lists this ribosomal RNA (253 nucleotides) under uncultured bacterium. RNAcentral describes it as "partial 16S ribosomal RNA". It matches the Rfam family "Bacterial small subunit ribosomal RNA", at positions 524 to 776 of the family's 1533-position model. The record is from RNAcentral.
UACGGAGGGGGCUAGCGUCAUUCGGAAUUACUGGGCGUAAAGCGCACGUAGGCGGCUUUGUAAGUAAGAGGUGAAAGCCCGGAGCUCAACUCCGGAACUGCCUUUUAGACUGCAUCGCUUGAAUCCAGGAGAGGUGAGUGGAAUUCCGAGUGUAGAGGUGAAAUUCGAAGAUAUUCGGAAGAACACCAGUGGCGAAGGCGGCUCACUGGACUGGUAUUAACGCUGAGGUGCGUAAGCGUGGGGAGCAAACAGG